UACGUAGGGGGCUAGCGUUAUCCGGAAUUACUGGGCGUAAAGGGUGCGUAGGUGGUUUCUUAAGUCAGAGGUGAAAGGCUAAGGCUCAACCGUAGUAAGCCUUUGAAACUGGGAAACUUGAGUGCAGGAGAGGAGAGUGGAAUUCCUAGUGUAGCGGUGAAAUGCGUAGAUAUUGGGAGGAACACCAGUUGCGAAGGCGGCUCUCUGGACUGUAACUGACACUGAGGCACGAAAGCGUGGGGAGCAAACAGGAUUAGAUACCCUGGUAGUCCCUGAG
RNAcentral lists this ribosomal RNA (277 nucleotides) under uncultured prokaryote. RNAcentral describes it as "partial 16S ribosomal RNA". It matches the Rfam family "Bacterial small subunit ribosomal RNA", at positions 524 to 801 of the family's 1533-position model. The record is from RNAcentral.